ACCAAAUUCUCACCGGUGGAUGUCUUGGUUCCCACAACGAUGAAGAACGCAGCGAAGUGCGAUAAGCAGUGCGAAUUGCAGAACCGUGAGUCAUCAGAUCUUUGAACGCAACUGGCGCCGUAGGGUUCGCCCUCGGCACGCCUGGUCCAGUAUCU
RNAcentral lists this ribosomal RNA (155 nucleotides) under Strombidium guangdongense. RNAcentral's name for it is "5.8S ribosomal RNA". It matches the Rfam family "5.8S ribosomal RNA". From Rfam's summary of the family: 5.8S ribosomal RNA (5.8S rRNA) is a component of the large subunit of the eukaryotic ribosome. It is transcribed by RNA polymerase I as part of the 45S precursor that also contains 18S and 28S rRNA. The record is from RNAcentral. Lineage: Eukaryota; Ciliophora; Spirotrichea; Strombidiidae.